GGCAUUCUUUGGUCUAUAGCCUUUAAGAAGUAUUGAUGAAACCAAGAGAAAGCUUCUUCCGCAUCCUUCUGGCCCAAAACCUCAUUCCAAGAUAUCCUGUUUAAGCUGGUCCAUUGAUGGAAGCCGGAAAAGCAAGUACCUGUGCCAGGUGAUCCGACAUAUGGAGCUCUAUUGUCGUGCAUUUCUGAUAAACUGUAUUUAGAAAUACAUUAUCAAUACAA
This is a long non-coding RNA of Harmonia axyridis, 221 nucleotides long. RefSeq lists it as uncharacterized. The record is from RefSeq and is a predicted model, not a curated record. The transcript has 2 exons. Lineage: Eukaryota; Metazoa; Arthropoda; Insecta; Coleoptera; Coccinellidae.